AUUCUAGCUCGCGAAGGAAAUAUUGAUUUAUCAUUUUUCCAAAGGUACUAUUAUAAUGCCAUGUGGUCUAGCUACUAUUUGAGAUUUUUUAUUUUGAGGUUCCUCAUUUCUUUAAGGUGAAUGCUUGAUGUGUUCUUUCUUGAAGAAAUGAACUAAGAUCCUUCAUCAUCCCUUAUUAUAUCAGUGCUUUAUUAUAAUGUUCUAUCAUCCCUCAUCAUCAUAGUAUUAAACAAGAGCUGUCAUUGGGUGCAUUUUUCUAUUAAUUACUUGCUAUAUCAUCCUCAUCUACUCAGUGUUUUUCUAAUUAAAGUUUAUUAUGUUUCAGCAUUAAGUUUGUCAUUUUGUUCUCACUUUUCUUGAGCAGGUCAUUACAGGGGUGGAAGUCUAAAAUAGUGGAGGUCUAAUCGUUGCUUGGCUAUUGCAACCAGUGGAGGUCUAAACCAGCAAAGGACCGGGGUGGAAGUCUAAAAUAGUGGAGGUCUAAUCAUUCUUUCACUUAUUAAUUGAUUUUUUUCUAUGGGAGUAUCAUGAUGCUCUACAUUGUGAUUCUUGGUUGGCUCUUUGUAUGAUUUUGUGGCAGGUUUGUGGUGGAUUAAAUGAGUCGUACGUUGAGCUGGAGAUACUUGUGAAUUCACAAGAAAAUUGUACCAGAUGGCUAGCUAGUUGCAUAUUUAAUAUGUUUAAUAUUUUUGUAAGGCAUAAUAGUAUAGAUAGAGCAGUUGUUGAAUUUUGACUAUAUUCAAAUCUUGUAUGAAUUCUUUUUUAUGAUAAUAAUAUAAAAUUAAAUAUUUUGGAUGAUA
RNAcentral lists this long non-coding RNA (800 nucleotides) under Salvia miltiorrhiza (redroot sage). RNAcentral's name for it is "long non-coding RNA (SMIL_LNC000721)". The record is from RNAcentral. Lineage: Eukaryota; Viridiplantae; Streptophyta; Magnoliopsida; Lamiales; Lamiaceae.